GACGAAGGGGGCUAGCGUUGUUCGGAAUUACUGGGCGUAAAGCGCGUGUAGGCGGUUAUCCAAGUCGGGUGUGAAAGCCUUGAGCUCAACUCAAGAAAUGCACUCGGUACUGGGUGACUAGAGGACCGGAGAGGAUAGUGGAAUUCCCAGUGUAGUGGUGAAAUUCGUAGAUAUUCGGAAGAACACCAGUGGCGAAGGCGGCUCACUGGCCCGGUACUGACGCUGAGGUGCGAAAGCGUGGGGAGCGAACAGG
RNAcentral lists this ribosomal RNA (253 nucleotides) under uncultured bacterium. RNAcentral's name for it is "partial 16S ribosomal RNA". It matches the Rfam family "Bacterial small subunit ribosomal RNA", at positions 524 to 776 of the family's 1533-position model. The record is from RNAcentral.